AUUUAUAUAAUAUAAAAAGUAUAAUUGAUUUCCAAUCAAAAAGUCUAAAAUUUUAGUAUAAAUA
This 64-nucleotide transfer RNA is filed under the name Strongylogaster xanthocera. Its description in RNAcentral is "tRNA-Gly". Lineage: Eukaryota; Metazoa; Arthropoda; Insecta; Hymenoptera; Tenthredinidae. The record is from RNAcentral.